Molecule: ribosomal RNA, 200 nt
Filed under: uncultured bacterium
Lineage: Bacteria
Description: partial 16S ribosomal RNA
Rfam family: Bacterial small subunit ribosomal RNA
Source: RNAcentral
UACGGAGGGUGCAAACGUUGCUCGGAAUCAUUGGGCGUAAAGCGCACGUAGGCGGCGAAGCAAGUCGGGUGUGAAAGCCCUGGGCUCAACCCAGGAAGUGCAUUCGAAACUAUUUCGCUUGAAUCUCGGAGGGGGUCAGAGAAUUCCCGGUGUAGAGGUGAAAUUCGUAGAUAUCGGGAGGAAUACCAGUGGCGAAGGCG